This 301-nucleotide ribosomal RNA is filed under the name uncultured bacterium. Its description in RNAcentral is "partial 16S ribosomal RNA". It matches the Rfam family "Bacterial small subunit ribosomal RNA", at positions 509 to 807 of the family's 1533-position model. The record is from RNAcentral.
CAGUAGCCGCGGGAAUACGGAGGGGGCUAGCGUUAUUCGGAAUUACUGGGCGUAAAGCGCACGUAGGCGGCUUCGCAAGUCAGAGGUGAAAGCCUGGGGCUCAACUCCAGAAUUGCCUUUGAGACUGCGUCGCUCGAAUCCGGGAGAGGUGAGUGGAAUUCCGAGUGUAGAGGUGAAAUUCGUAGAUAUUCGGAAGAACACCAGUGGCGAAGGCGGCUCACUGGACCGGCAUUGACGCUGAGGUGCGAAAGCGUGGGGAGCGAACAGGAUUAGAUACCCCCGUAGUCCCUGUCUCUUAUAC